AAAAAACAGAUUUAUAUCUUCUUUGGAAAAAAAGAGACUUUCCCUGUCGCUUCCAGCUUUUCCUUCAGAACAGGUCUGUCAGCAGUGUUGCACAAUACAUUGUCCAGUCCUGAAGAUAUUAAGCACGGCAACAAACCACAUGAAAACACAUUCCAGAUUUCUGGAAGCACUGCUGCUCCAGCCCAAAUAAGCCAGUCCACUGCUGAUUUAAUGAUCUAAGAUUGAACUGCUUACCGUAUUCAUCAGUCAUCCGCUACAUAAGCAUAAAAUACAGAUCCACACUUAUUUUUCUGAUUAACUGUAGCCUUAGGGCUUGCCUAUGGAAAAUAUUUAUAAGACAAACUAAAUGAAAGUCACUUCCAUUCUUAAUGAACAGAUUUAACCAAACUGCUUGGAACUGAACUCUCCCAUUCAUCACCGCAAUCUUUUCUUUCACACCUACACUGCAGGCAAGAGCUAAAGGACAGCAACAUCCAUUCCAGUUAUAACCUACUGUUACCCAACAAAGAAAUCUUAGGCAGUGCUUGGAUCGGGGUUUUUCAGAAGCUUUAAUAGGUAGACAGAUUUCAAAAGCUCUAAAGGUCUCUUGUACAUCAUUACUUCCAAGUAUCUUGGCUUAAGUUUAAGGCUUAGUGCACCAUAGUCCUUUCUUGGUCUGUGUACCUGCAGCACCCACAGCAGCAUCCAGAUGGAAACAUGUCGUGCCACAGCAAUUCUAUUACAGAGCUUGAGGCCUCACAGUCCCAGGUGAGCUCCCUUCACCUGCAGACAGGACUUAGAGGUUAAGAAGCAAAGCCUGCUCAUGCUGCUGUCCCUGACACGGGCAGGAGGAGCUGCUGCUGGCGAGUUAUUUCUGUGUACAUUUGAACCGUAGAUAAAAGAACAGAGCAGUCCGGGAGCAGCAGCACAUCUGCACGGCAACAGCGGGGCGACUCGAAGGAAUCGGGAACCUAAACACCCAUACUCCAGUCUUUACAUACAUCUUUUUAGACUGAACCCAAGGCAGCAGCUCACACACACCGCUCUCAGUCACGCUACUACGAUACAGUCCCAUUUUUUCGGUCACAACCCCACAGGAAGCGCCGCGCGGUGGUGGGACAAGGAUCCCGAACAGGAGCCGGAACGGCCCCAGCAGCGGGGCAGCCCCACACACAGCGCCGGGCGCUGACAGACAGAGGCCGCACCGCGCCCAACACACACAGCGGCUGAGGGACCCCGCGCCGCUUCGCCUCCCGUCCCCUCCCCCCGUCCUCGAGCCUUUUGGCACCAUCCCCGCUGCCAGGCCCGGGCUCAGCCGCAGCUCUCGGGGCAGAGCCCCCCCGGCCCCACCGUACGGGCACAGCCGAGGCCCCGUUGUCCCCCGGGCCCUGUCAGGGCCGAGAGGCCGCCUCCCCCCGCGACGCCCGAGGCUCCGCUCCAGGCGGCGGCGACAUCGAGGAAGAGCCGGGAGAAAGGGCAGAACGGUACCAGCACCAGCAUUCUUGCCAGCAGCAGAACGUAUUGCCAGCCUGCAGCACGUGAAACCCCAUUGGAUGAUCCAGUCUCUGGAGAGUCAAAGCCUGAAAGGCCCAUGAGCUCAUCUGGCUGUCAAAGUGAACACCUGGUCAAAACAAAACUAGUACCAG
Molecule: non-coding RNA, 1625 nt
Organism: Coturnix japonica (Japanese quail)
Lineage: Eukaryota; Metazoa; Chordata; Aves; Galliformes; Phasianidae
Source: RefSeq, a predicted model, not a curated record